CAUAGCGACUAUCGUGGCAUAUCAAUAAGCGGAGGAAAAGAAACUAACAAGGAUUCCCUUAGUAACGGCGAGUGAAGCGGGAAGAGCUCAAAUUUGAAAUCUUCAAGGUUCUACCUUGACGAAUUGUAGUUUAAAGAAGUGUUUUCUGUUGGAGUUUUGGUAAAAGUUCUUUGGAAUAGGACAUCAUAGAGGGUGAGAAUCCCGUAUUUGACCAUUAUUUCCAACUUUGUGAUACACUUUCAAAGAGUCGGAUUGUUUGGGAAUGCAGUCCAAAAUGGGUGGUAAAUUUCAUCUAAAGCUAAUAUUGGCGAGAGACCGAUAGCGAACAAGUACCGUGAGGGAAAGAUGAAAAGAACUUUGAAAAGAGAGUUAAACAGUACGUGAAAUUGUCAAAAGGGAAGCGUUUGACACCAGUGUUGUUUUCUCGAAAAUCAAUUAAAAAUGGCCGGAUUUUGUGUUGUAUUGACUUUAUCAGCUUUCUGCACUUUUUUCUUGUCUUUUUUAAUGCACUUUUCGUUUAACAAGUCAACAUCAAUUUCUUUUGUUGUAAAAGAGUCAUUGGAAGGUGGCUUUCAUUUCGGUGAAAGUGUUUAUAGCCUUUGACUUCUGCAAUCGGAGAGAUUGAGGUCUGCAGCGUAGAUCCUUCGGGGUUAGAUACAUUUGUGCUAAGUUAUAGUUUUUCAUAGACAACAUGUUGACUAUGAUUAAUCAUGUAGCUUACUCGCUUAUGCUAUUUUACCUACGCUUAGGAUGUUGACGAGACUGUCGAUCUC
This 773-nucleotide ribosomal RNA is filed under the name uncultured Neocallimastigales. RNAcentral's name for it is "partial large subunit ribosomal RNA". It matches the Rfam family "Eukaryotic large subunit ribosomal RNA", at positions 22 to 646 of the family's 3401-position model. Lineage: Eukaryota; Fungi; Neocallimastigomycota; Neocallimastigomycetes; Neocallimastigales. The record is from RNAcentral.